UGUGAAAUGUUGGGUUAAGUCCCGCAACGAGCGCAACCCUUAUCCUUUGUUGCCAGCGGUCCGGCCGGGAACUCAAAGGAGACUGCCAGUGAUAAACUGGAGGAAGGUGGGGAUGACGUCAAGUCAUCAUGGCCCUUACGACCAGGGCUACACACGUGCUACAAUGGCGCAUACAAAGAGAAGCGACCUCGCGAGAGCAAGCGGACCUCAUAAAGUGCGUCGUAGUCCGGAUUGGAGUCUGCAACUCGACUCCAUGAAGUCGGAAUCGCUAGUAAUCGUGGAUCAGAAUGCCACGGUGAAUACGUUCCCGGGCCUUGUACACACCGCCCGUCACACCAUGGGAGUGAGUUGCAAAAGAAGUAGGUAGCUUAACCUUCGGGAGGGCGCUUACCACUUUGUGAUUCAUGACUGGGGUGAAGUCGUAACAAGGUAACCGUAGGGGAACCUGCGGUUGGA
Molecule: ribosomal RNA, 456 nt
Filed under: Escherichia coli
Lineage: Bacteria; Pseudomonadati; Pseudomonadota; Gammaproteobacteria; Enterobacterales; Enterobacteriaceae
Description: bacterial SSU rRNA
Rfam family: Bacterial small subunit ribosomal RNA
Source: RNAcentral